Molecule: ribosomal RNA, 276 nt
Filed under: Glomus sp. (unid)
Lineage: Eukaryota; Fungi; Glomeromycota; Glomeromycetes; Glomerales; Glomeraceae
Source: RNAcentral
CAGUCGUACUUGCGGAUAAUCAACCUUUAGAUGCGAUUUUGUGGAGCGCCAGGAGUUAAACGCCUUCAUGCCUGCAUAUUCGUAUACUUUGGGUGUACUUAUUCGUGUGGUAAGUUAACAUCAAUUCUGGUGAUCAUAAAAUGACUAGAGGAAUGUAGCUUCGAUCUCGUAUUGAAGUGUUAAGCCUUCGGUAGAUGUGAUGGAUCGGGGAUUGAGGAUUGCAACGGUUACCCUUCGGGGCUACCUGUCUGGUCUCUGAUUGUUGCUCUGGUGCUG